AUGUCAAUCAUGCUAACAGGCCGGGUUGGGGUGAGGCCCUCACUUCAUCCCGGGGCUAGCACGGUGCCAGCAGUCCACAACGCGGCUUCUGUCUCUGAGCUCACCUGUAUCUACUCCGCCCUCAUCCUGCACGACGAGCAGGAUAAGGUCAAUGCCCUGAUUAAAGCAGUGGGUGUCAAUGUUGAACCUUUCUGGCCUGGCUUGUUUGCAAAGGCCCUGGCCCAUGUCAACUCUGGGAGUUUCAUCUGCAAUGUAGGGGCUGGCUGGCCGCUCCAGCAGCUGGGGCUGCACCUGCUGGUGGCCCUGCUCCAUCCACUGUUGCUGCCCCAGCUGAGGAGAAGAAAGUGGAAGCAAAGAAGGAAGAGUCCGAGCAGUCGGAAGAUGACUUGGGCUUUGGUCUUUUUGACUAAACUGCAUUUGUUAACAUGUCCAAUAAAGAGCUGAACCUGUUAAAAAACAAAA
Molecule: RNA transcript, 462 nt
Organism: Mastomys coucha (southern multimammate mouse)
Lineage: Eukaryota; Metazoa; Chordata; Mammalia; Rodentia; Muridae
Gene name: 60S acidic ribosomal protein P1 pseudogene
Exons: 2
Source: RefSeq, a predicted model, not a curated record